This 440-nucleotide ribosomal RNA is filed under the name uncultured bacterium. RNAcentral describes it as "partial 16S ribosomal RNA". It matches the Rfam family "Bacterial small subunit ribosomal RNA", at positions 338 to 795 of the family's 1533-position model. The record is from RNAcentral.
CCUACGGGAGGCUGCAGUGGGGAAUAUUGCACAAUGGGGGAAACCCUGAUGCAGCAACGCCGCGUGAGUGAAGAAGUAUUUCGGUAUGUAAAGCUCUAUCAGCAGGGAAGAAGAUGACGGUACCUGAGUAAGAAGCCCCGGCUAACUACGUGCCAGCAGCCGCGGUAAUACGUAGGGGGCAAGCGUUAUCCGGAUGUACUGGGUGUAAAGGGAGCGUAGACGGCAGCACAAGUCUGGAGUGAAAUCCCGGGGCUUAACCCCGGAACUGCUUUGGAAACUGUGCGGCUGGAGUGCAGGAGGGGUAAGCGGAAUUCCUAGUGUAGCGGUGAAAUGCGUAGAUAUUAGGAGGAACACCGGUGGCGAAGGCGGCUUACUGGACUGUAACUGACGUUGAGGCUCGAAAGCGUGGGGAGCAAACAGGAUUAGAUACCCUUGUAGUC